ACUGGGCGCGGUGGUGCGUGCCUGUAGUCCCAGGAGGGACUCAGGAGGCUGAGGUGGGAGGAUCGCUUGAGCCUAGGAGUUCUGGCCUGCAGUGUGCUAUGCCGAUCAGGUGUCUGCACUAAGUUCGGCAUCAAUAUGGUGACCUCCUGGGAGCGGGGGACCACCAGGUUGCCUAAGGAGGGGUGAACCGGCCCAGGUCAGAAACAGAGCAGGUCAAAACUCCUGUGCUGAUCAGUAGCGGGAUCGUGCCUAUGAAUAGCCACUGCACUCCAGCCUGGGCAACAUAGCGAGACCCCGCCUCUU
Molecule: unclassified non-coding RNA, 303 nt
Organism: Callithrix jacchus (white-tufted-ear marmoset)
Lineage: Eukaryota; Metazoa; Chordata; Mammalia; Primates; Cebidae
Rfam family: Metazoan signal recognition particle RNA
About the family: The signal recognition particle (SRP) is a universally conserved ribonucleoprotein.
Source: Ensembl